GCGAACUUUGGCCCGUGGAGCUGGUAAGAAGAGAGGGGGUGAGCGCGUGUCGGGAUGACUGGGCUUAAAGCGCACGUAGGAGGCCAUUUAAGUCAGUGGUGAAAUCCCGGGGGUCAACCUCGGAACUGCCUUUGAUACUGGGUGUCUAGAGGAUGGAAGAGGUAAGGGGAAUUGCGAGUGUAGAGGUGAAAUUCGUAGAUAUUCGCAGGAACACCAGUGGCGAAGGCGGCUUACUGGUCCAUUACUGACGCUGAGGUGCGAAAGCGUGGGGAGCAAACAGGAUUAGAUACCCUAGUAGUC
This 300-nucleotide ribosomal RNA is filed under the name uncultured Pyrobaculum sp. Its description in RNAcentral is "bacterial SSU rRNA". It matches the Rfam family "Bacterial small subunit ribosomal RNA", at positions 496 to 795 of the family's 1533-position model. Lineage: Archaea; Thermoproteati; Thermoproteota; Thermoprotei; Thermoproteales; Thermoproteaceae. The record is from RNAcentral.